CAAAAAUCCCCAAGUGCCCAAUCCUCCCCCAAAUCCUUAAGUCCCCUUCUUUGGCUCUCAGCUCGCCCUCGCUCGCUGCUCGCCCUCUCUGGCUCUCACCUCGCCCUGGCUUUCUUGCCGUCACCUCUCGCCCUCGCUCGCUGCUCGCUCUCUUUGGCUCUCUUGCCCUCGCUCUUGCGCCUCACUCGUUUCCUCGCUGAUGUGCUGAUGUAUUUUUCCGUUUUGCUGUGUUUUUUCUGUUCCGUUUUGUUGUUCUGUUCUUCUGUGUUUUGUUGUAUUUUUCUAUUCUGCUAGCAACAUCUUUUCUAUUUUUAUUGAUUUGUUGUGUUAAUUUCUUGCGGUUUUUAUCAUGCAUCAAUUUACUGCCUAAUGUCAUCCAUUAACUAAUUGUCGCUAUGCAAUUAUUUCAUUUUCUAUAAUGCUGAUACUACUUCCAGACUUUCAUGCAUCUUGCUCAUAAUAAACUAAUGUCUAAAUAAAAGAGGAAACAUAUAUUGUAUACUUUGGCUGAACCAUUGGGGGAGAGGGGAGUUGGAGGAGCGGGUUGAUCUCUACGGACCCAGAGUAAAAGAGGAAACAUCCAAUUAUUGCAAGAGCUUACCUUGUAAUUAUUCUUUUGAGGUGAAAAAACACUCAACUAUAUAUCAUAGGAUAGUUCGGUUGGUUUCUAUAAUCUUUCCUUGUAUUUUUUUGUUAAUAUGUAUUACAUCCUUUUAGUCUUUUUGAAAUUCUAUAUCAUGUUGACUAAUAUUAACUGCCGUGGCUAUGAGCUCUCUAUUUUAACAUUUAUUAACAAACUGUUUUCCUGCAAGGUUGAUGUUUCCAACAUAAUCAAUUAUUCUCUCGCAUAUUGGCCAAAGGUACCAUUUUAUAAGUUUUCUAGGGCAUGAAAAUAUAUGGAAGUUUCUUGUAUUGCAGUGAAUUUCUUUUACAAAACAUUAGUGUCUGAACUACAGGUCACUGACAAUCACACACAAAUUGUAUGUCUGCAUUGUUGCUUGAUUGUAUCCUUAUCCUCAACUUUAAAUCCAUAACUGCAUUGUUGCUUGAUUGUAUAAGCUCUCCUAAAGGAAAACAUGCCAUUUGUUCCUUAAAACAGGUCAUGUCAUGCAGAUUAGCAUCCACCAUUUUUAUAUUUGUAAUGCUGCCAAUCCUUUGCAGUAGCAUAAAUUGACAAAGAAGAAGAUAUUCAACCAUAGAUAUUCAAGGGUUUUGUUCAUUAUGCAUGGGCAAGUGUUCCCACAUACCCUAGUGGAGUGAUUGGAUUUCUGAUAUGCUCAAUGUGGAUUUUAUUCAUCCUAUCAAUCCUAUUAAAAAAGUAGAGAGAGGGCUGAAGUUUAGAAGAGAGCUGAGGUUUUACAACUCUGAGGAAGCAUUUGCUGUUGUGAGAGAGGCUUCAAAGAGGGUUCUUGGCAUUUGACCAUUUGAUGUGCAAUUGAUAGUACGAUGGAUAGGAAUUGGAUGCGAUUGGAUGAUAGACCAACAUUGUUCGAGGUUAAUGAAACAACAAGACUCUAAAGGAAACAACUACUGUCUUGGAGAACAUGAACAGUUUUAUGACUUUAUAGUGUUUUGUUGUCCAUUAGUUUUGAAUAGUAUAUACAAUUGACAAAGUGUUAGUUUUAGUUGAACAUAUUUUUUGGUGUAAUUUGUUAGCAAUUAACACUUAUAUAUAUACUACUUUUGGUGUGUAAAUGCUAAUGGAUAAUGAUUACUUUGGUGUUAUUUGAAUGACAUGUUU
Long non-coding RNA from Diospyros lotus (date-plum), 1741 nucleotides. RefSeq lists it as uncharacterized. NCBI's taxonomy places the organism in Eukaryota, Viridiplantae, Streptophyta, Magnoliopsida, Ericales, Ebenaceae. The record is from RefSeq and is a predicted model, not a curated record. The transcript has 5 exons.